GGAAGUAAAAGUCGUAACAAAGUUUCCGUAGGUGAACCUGCGGAAGGAUCAUUCAUAAUAAGUGUUUUACUGCACUUUUUAAAAAUAGUACUCACCUUGUGUGCAAUGUUGUGUUUCUUUUCGGAGAAACACCUACACCAACCUAUAACCUUGAACCACUUUGUCUGAAAAACUAUUAUGAAUACUUAAUUCAAUAUACAACUUUCAACAACGGAUCUCUUGGCUCUC
Molecule: unclassified non-coding RNA, 228 nt
Filed under: plant metagenome
Description: partial contains small subunit ribosomal RNA, internal transcribed spacer 1, and 5.8S ribosomal RNA
Rfam family: Eukaryotic small subunit ribosomal RNA (bases 1-54)
Source: RNAcentral